CGCGUAGGCGGCCUUCUAAGUCAGACGUGAAAUCCCCAGGCUUAACUUGGGAACUGCGUCUGAUACUGGGAGGCUUGAGUGCGGGAGAGGGAUGUGGAAUUCCAGGUGUAGCGGUGAAAUGCGUAGAUAUCUGGAGGAACACCGGUGGCGAAGGCGGCAUCCUGGACCGACACUGACGCUGAGGCGCGAAAGCUAGGGAGCAAACG
RNAcentral lists this ribosomal RNA (206 nucleotides) under uncultured bacterium. Its description in RNAcentral is "partial 16S ribosomal RNA". It matches the Rfam family "Bacterial small subunit ribosomal RNA", at positions 568 to 774 of the family's 1533-position model. The record is from RNAcentral.